UUAAAAUCCUGCAGUUCAAAUCUGAGUGAUAUUUGAAAGGUCCAGCCUGACCCUCUCUAAGUCUGCCUUUUAAUUAACCAGGCUUUUUAUAGCACACUGUGUUCUCCUCCCUGCCAGGGCAACUUGCAGGACUUCUCCAGGUGAGAAUUCCAGAAGCACCUUCACUAGGAUGUUCUGGAUGCAGCAGGAUGGUAACACUCCAGCACAGUAUUGCCAGUACCUGCAUCAGAAGGUCUUACUCUGGAAGCUCCCUGGGUCAUGGUUGAAGCCCUCAGGAAUAUGGGUGCCCAUGGACAGAAGCAUUGCAGCUGCAUCAAGGUGGAGUUGUCCAGAGUGACUUCUGGGGCCACUUAUCCCAGAUAAACCAGUAGGCACAGCCAAGGAGCAGCUUGUACCUCUGGAAAAGCCAAUUGCCACAUCCCAUUUUACCCAGACUGCUGCUGAUUUCCAGGUACAACAUAGAGAGGUCUCGGGAGCGAAAGGGGGCAGAGUGUGAGGACAAUAAGAUAAGGCUGCACAUGCUGUGACAGCAGUGAGUUAGUGCUGGUCAGAAAACAGGAAAAUUGAAUGUCAGGGCUGGCACCACCAACAAACAAAGCACAAACAGCAUCUCAACAGAAGCAGCACAGCUUGA
RNAcentral lists this long non-coding RNA (634 nucleotides) under Lonchura striata (white-rumped munia). RNAcentral's name for it is "domestica (Bengalese finch) lncRNA (ENSLSDG00000017950.1)". The record is from RNAcentral. Lineage: Eukaryota; Metazoa; Chordata; Aves; Passeriformes; Estrildidae.